UUUUAAACCCAGCCUCAGAAGAUGAAGACAAGGACCUCCAGAGCACCACGGCAGGAGACUAUCCAUAUCAGUUAGCUCUGGGUUUUGGCUGAGAGACCCUGCCUCGUGAAUAAGGCUUUCUGAACCUGUCAGCUCUUGUGCCCUGGAGAUGAAGCAAAAGAGAAGAAUGGGUCAGAACCAGGAACAACAUCCUCUGGAGUCACCAUGUAGCAGGCUGGCCUUAAACUUGGGAUGCUUCUCCUGAGUUGCCUGGAUGCUGGUUUACAGGGAUCCAAAGAAAAGGCUGCCACUUCAAUGUCUAAUGGGUCCAGACAGGCUCCUACCUCCCGCCUUGAUGCUUGGCCGCUCACACCAUUACGGAAGCUGCCAACGAGAAAGGCACGAGAUGCCGGGGACCAGCUGACCUUGACUGCCUGCAUCUGAAAUACUCCUGUCUAUCCCACCACGGAGAGAGACAGCAACUAAAUUGGAUUAAUCCCAAAGGGAUCAGUCUGUAUCUCAGAGUAUUUAUAAAAUUUGAAAGAUCUAGGCGCUUCACGGGCAGCACUUGCUCUAGCUUUAAGCGGUUAGCACAAAGCUCUGGAGCGGGUAAAGCUAUGCUGAGCAACUGAAUGGACUGUGUCAGGUCUGUGGAGGAGUUGUGAGACUUGAGGCUUCGCAUGAAUAGUGAAAAAUCAUAUGCAUAUACAUAUACAUUUAUAUACAUAUAUGCUAAAGAAUAUAUAU
Molecule: long non-coding RNA, 726 nt
Filed under: Rattus norvegicus (Norway rat)
Lineage: Eukaryota; Metazoa; Chordata; Mammalia; Rodentia; Muridae
Description: long non-coding RNA NONRATT024432
Source: RNAcentral